AAUCUUCCGCAAGGGUCGCAAGUCUGACGGAGCCACGCCGCGUCAGUGAAGAAGGUUUUCGAAUCGUAAAGCUCUGUUGUUAGGGAAGAACAAGUGCCGUUCGAAUAGGUCGGCCCCUUGACUGUACCUAACCAGAAAGCCACGGCUAAUUACUUCCCAUCCGCCGCGGUAAUACGUAGGUGGCAAGUGUUGUCCGGAAUUAUUGGGCGUAAAGCGCGCGCAGGCGGUCUUUUAAGACUGAUGUGAAAACUUGCGGAUCAACCGCAAGCGGUCAUUGGAAACUGUGAGACUUGAGUGCAGAAGAGGAGAGUGGAAUUCCACGUGUAGAGGUGAAAAGCGUAGAGAUGUGGAGGAACACCAGUGGCGAAGGCGACUCUCUGGUCUGUAACUGACGCUGAGGCGCGAAAGCGUGGGGAGCAAACAG
Molecule: ribosomal RNA, 424 nt
Filed under: uncultured bacterium
Lineage: Bacteria
Description: partial 16S ribosomal RNA
Rfam family: Bacterial small subunit ribosomal RNA
Source: RNAcentral